CGGGGUGUCAUGUGUGAAUGGAAUAGGCCAGGGGGUUUUCCGUUAAAGGGUUGGGUUUAAGUGUGGAGGUGGAAAACUUCAAGGGGCCUAAGUGCUAGAUCUAGGGGCUUUAGUACAAAAGCAAGAGCAGAUCCGCUAAGAUAGUUUUGUUCCGAGGACUGAUAUGCGAAAGUAGCAUUUUUUUUCUAUUUUAGUUUUAGUUGUAAUGGCUGAAACUUUGGAAAUCCGUAUAAAAUCAUAGGAAAAGGAUAAAAAUGCAAAAUAAAUUUUGUUGGCUUUCUGAUGCUCAUAUCUACCUAGGAAAAAUACUUGUUCAUGUGAACUCUAUCUUUCGGUUGCUGAUUAAAAUACAUGUUAUUUAAUCUCCUUAUUUUGGAAUAAAUAGCUAUAGUACUCUUAAAAUCCUGAUAAAUUUAUAGUAAUAUUUUACUAUGAUGAAAAGUGUUUUGGGAAGUUUGUAGAACCAAAUUCUUAUAUAACUUUAGAUCUAAAUUAUUCUUCAUAUCUAUAGUUUUGCAAUGUUUGAUUUUUAAUAAACUUUGUGGAAGUCCAAUAAUGCUGAAACUUUUACAAUAAUGUGCUUGCAUGAUUAGUAACCUCUGUAAAUGAUUUAUGUUCAUAUACCUUCAGAUGCUACCUGAACAUUUAUUCAUGUUGAAAGUUAGUUUAGUUAUGAAAGAUACUUGUUGCUAGGUUUUGUAGGCCCACAAAUUGUUAUUUAUGCUCUUUAUUAGUAGUAUAUUCAUCUCUGAAAACUUCACUAGCAAAAUCUUUAUGGUUAUGUGCAUAUGCCUUUUGUUAGCCUCUAGUGUGUAUUGCUAUGGUUUUAGCCAUGAGCACGUUUCCUGUGUAGAUAGCAACAUGUUUUGAUGCUCUCUUUUGAAUUUUAAUCCAUGUAUGAUUGAGUUGCUGCACUCUCUAAACUUGACUUCAUGCAUGUGUCAUCACCUUUCAAUGAACUCAUACAUAUGCAUUUUCAUGUAGAUAACCCGCUAGUUGACGGUCCGUAUGAAUUGAUCGCCGCGCCCGAGAGUGAGCAGCGUGAAGCCUCUCCAGUUGAAGCAUCUCAAGGCAUGAACCAAAAUUUAGAAGAGCCCAAGGCUAGUUGGGAAGGCAAGCUCCGGAGCAUAACCCCUAAUUUCAAAACUAUGCAAUUAUCUUAAAUACGUGUUUACUUUUAUGCAUUAUGUUCCUAGGAGUUGAAUGAAACCUUAGUUGCACGAUCCCUAGGACUCCCAGGUUCAAAAUACUAGUAUGUAUAGGUCAAUAGAAGUUCCAUGCUUAAUUAAGAAUGGUAGAAGUCGAGUGAUUGCCUGUCGCUCGCGAGACAUAGGACAUUUCAAUAUUUAUGGCAAGUUACUUGAGAAUGAAUCACUAAUGAAAGAAAAGGUUGAGACCGGGCAGAGAUAAAAAAAUAAAGUUGAAGUUAGCAUUGUGGUUGCGCUCCACCUGUGUUGAUGAAGGUCCGUUUGUUGUGGCCCUGCUGAUCAAGUUUGAACUAUACUAUACACAUGCUCGAAGUAAGAAGUAGUUGAAACUGGUAAAACCUAGUACCUUAGGGCGUGAUUGCAGAUUGAGUUGGUCCUGUUUCCUAUUUAUGUGCUAGUCAGUAACUCACAGCAGGCCCGGGGAGGUACCGGUGGGGAUUAGCACUCGAGGGUUGCAAGAGUUCACAACUGCCAUCGUUCUUUAAGGGGAUCAUUUGACAUAUGCGGCUCGACGGGGCAUGCAUAUGUCGUGUGUACAGGUCUACCUUGCAAGGUUAUAAAUCGAAUCGAUUCGCCACCGCUCUCGGUUAAGAGAACCUUGAUCACCGUGUCACAUCGUAGUAAGAAGUGAAAUGAAAUGAAAUGUGAAAUGAUGUUGAUGUUGUUAUCUAAUCAAUUAUUUUUCCACACUGAAAAGUUUGAAAAUGUUGCUCACUUAGAAUGGUUACAUCAACCUUAAAUUGGAUGCUAAAACUUGAAAGUAAGGAUCCACUCUUAGUUAUUUUUUGGCAAAACAAAACCCUCAGCCAAAAGCUUUUCAUACUAGGAGUCGGCUAAGUAUAUAUCAUAGUCGGGUAAGUCUUGCUGAGUAUUAGUAUACUCAGCCUUACUUUGUUGUUACUUUCAGGUACUAGUGAUGAAAUGAUAGAGUUGGUUGCCGGUCAACCUUGGGAUGGUCGUCCUUUACCUGAACGGUGGUCGGUUGAGUGGUCUCCGGCCUUGCCUUGAGGUGGUCUUGUGUUGGAUGACAUGUGGCGGGCUACUCAUGUCGUCAUGUAUCUUUAUUCACACUUUAUCGUUUAGACUUCCGCUGUAUUUUAUUUCAAGAACUCUGUCUUGUAAUCUUUUAUGAAUUCGAACUCAGUUUGUAAAUUACUUAAGAACUCUAUGUUUGUAACCUGAAAUACCAUGUUGUAUCAUCUGCGCUCACCUUCGUGUGAGACUUGUUGCAUGUUGUUUCGAUUGAUAUAUUCAGUGGUUGCAUCGGGCUUGACCGACGAGCUAUCGGAUUACACCGUUUUCAAUGUGUGACUGAAUUAACCAUUAAGAUGAUGGUUAGCACACUUAAGCUGGUUUAAUUUGGGUGGUUCCGCCACACCUGGGUAACCCCCUGGUGGACUGCCAAUCACUAAAACUGACAAGAAAGUUAGGGAUGAUGAGUAUAUGGUUUAUGGGACAACAAUGGCUUUUGAAAUGCAUCACAAACCAAACGGAUUGGAUGUUACCACUACUUAAAAAAAGAUUCGUAGGAGCACCUCCAGAUCAGACCAAAACUCACCCGCACGUACAAAUAGAGUGGUGCUACUGUAGCAAUUCGCCCGCUCCUAGAAAUCCAUUUCCAAGAACGGUCACGUCUGAAAAUAGAGCCCAUUUCUAGGGGUGGGCGAUGGAGUGACCCAUCCCUAAAAAUGAUCAUUUUCAAACACAGGUCACACCAUCGCCCGCUCCUGAAAAUGACCUCUAUACGCGGGUCACCCCGUGACCUGUCCCUGGAAAUAGAUUUCCAGCAGCGGGCAACGGGCUCACUCGCAUCUGCAAGAACAUGCAUGCCAGUGAAAAUGUGAAGGGAAAUUUGUCUACAGCACACCACCAAAGUGCAGUUUUGUGCCGAACACAUCCGCAAAAUGGAUUUUGUCUCCGGGACAUCGCGAAAGUCUGGUUUGGUAUGCAACACACCACACCGAAUAAACUAAUCAUUCCCAGCUGAGAGGAUGGGUAAAAGGACCAUUUUGCCCUUCGUGGUGCCCAUCUGUCAUCUUCUCCCUCUCCCCUCUCUCUUCCUUCUCUCUUCACUCCGCGUGCAGUCGUGCUUGAGAAGGCCGCCUGUGAGCAAUAGCAAGAGUGUGAAUUGAAUGGCAAUGGUGGGGAGCUCACCCACGAGCAAUGGCAAGAAGCUCGCAUGGGGCAUGCGCCAACAGGAAGCUCCAACGGUGCAGGCGCACAUCACAUGGCGGUCCAUGGCGAGGAGCUUGAGCGGCGCGGCUGGUGGCGGCCGAUGGGAGUGUAGAGCUCGGGUGGCGCUGUUGGUGGAGGCCGGUGGGGCUGCGGGACUGUGGAGCUCGAGCAACACGGCUCGCGGCAACCAACGAUGGUUUGGAGCUCGAGCAGCACCGCCCGCAGCGGACGGCGGGGGUGGGGAGCUCGAGCGGCGUUGCUGGUGGCAGCCGGUGGGGCCGCAGGGCUGUGGAGAUCGGGCAUCACGGCUCGCAUUAGGCGGCGGUCUGAAGCUCGAGCAGCGUUGCCCGCGGUGGUCAGUGGGGUGGGGAGCUUGGGCUGCGCCGCUCAUGGCGGUCGGCGGCCAUGUGGAGCUCGGGCGGCACGGCUCGUAGCAGCGUGUAAUGCGAGCAUCGAGAAUGCGUGAAGGAGCUCCGGCAGGAGCGGAGCAGCAGAUCAACGAUAGGGAGCGGAGCAGUAGAUCAACAACAUGAGAAAAGGAGAGGGGCUGGCAAAACAAGAAGAAAGAAGAGAGGUAAGGAGAAGAUGUUUAACCUCCAAUGAAGGGUAAAAUGGUCCUUUUCUCUAUUAGUUCAGCUAAAAAUGGUUAGGCCCUGUUUGGUUACCCUGGACUAAACUUUAGUCCAUCUAUUUUGCCAUUUUAGUUCCUAAAGUGCCAAAUAUGUGGACUAAAAUGUGGACUAAACCCUUUAAUCCUCUGGUCCAAGGAGGUGGACUAAAGUGGACUAAAAGUCCUGGAAGACACCCCUACCUCUUAUUUAUUGCCUCCCUCCCGCCCAGCCCCCUCCGCUGACCUCCCUCCCGCUGCCCUCCCACCCGGCCCCCACCUCUGGCCUCCCUCCUACCGCCCCUUUUUGCCGCGCUACAAUUGCCAACAGUGGAGCACUGCAGCGGCAGCCCCUGUACCCUUUAGGCCUUCACCUUCAUGAAUCUGAGUAGGGAGUUUCCAUCUUCAAAACAGGUGUAUAUCAUCUUUGUUCAUCUUCAUUAAUGGACUUUUGUCCAUGAAUCCAAACAGGGCAGGAACUUCCAUGAACAAAUAGGGUAGGGACCAAACAGGGGCUUACUUUGGCCCCGUUUGGUUACAUUUGCUUAUUUUUAGCACCCGUCACAUCGAAUGUUUAGAUACUAAUUAGGAGUAUUAAACGUAGACUAUUUACAAAACCCAUUACAUAAGUGGAGGCUAAACGGCGAGACGAAUCUAUUAAGCCUAAUUAGUCCAUGAUUUGAUAAUGUGUUGCUACAGUAAACAUUUGCUAAUGAUGGUUUAAUUAGUCUUAAUAGAUUCGUCUCGUCGUUUAGCCUUCACUUAUGUAAUGGGUUUUGUAAAUAGUCUACGUUUAAUACUCCUAAUUAGUAUCUAAAUAUUCGAUGUGACGGGUGGCUAAAAAUAAGCAAAGGUAACCAAACGCCCCCUGAUGGAGUGUGUUGCAGACAAUAUGUGUUUUCACGGUGUGAUACAUACAAAAGGGGGCGUUUUCUUCCGGUGACUUAUUUUUAGCACGUGUCACAUCGAAUGUUUAGAUACUAAUUAGGAGUAUUAAACGUAGACUAUUUACAAAACCCAUUACAUAAGACGAAUCUAAACGGCGAGAUGAAUCUAUUAAGCCUAAUUAAUCCAUCAUUAGCAAAUGUUUACUGUAGCAACACAUUGUCAAAUCAUGGACUAAUUAGGCUUAAUAGAUUCGUCUCGCCGUUUAGAUUCAUCUUAUGUAAUGGGUUUUGUAAAUAGUCUACAUUUAAUACUCCUAAUUAGUAUCUAAACAUUCGAUGUGACGGGUGCUAAAAAUAAGUCAGUGUAAGAAAAUGGGGCCAAAAUCAACUUUGAUAGUGUGCUCUGUGCAAAACCACACUUUGGUAGUGUGUCGUGGACAAAUUUCCCAAAAUUGAAACAGCAGGCGCGGGAUCAAAAGCAACUGGAACAGCAGCCCGCGUGAGCCUCUCUCUCUCUCCUUUACCUUUCUAUCUUCUCACUCUCUCUCUCUCUCCCUUAUCUCUUCAGCUUCACUCAUCCUUCUCAUCCGUCUCUCCUUCUCCCUCAGUACAGGAGGCGCGGCAGGCGUCGAGCGGCCGCGGGCGCGGUGGCCGAGGCUAGCCGGACGCGAGUCUGGCCGAAGGCCGUGGGCGCGGCUAGCCGGGCGCCGAGGCAGCGGACGCAGAGGCUGUUGGCGCGGCGGGCCAGAGGGGCACGCGGCCGGCCGGCGUGGAGGUCGGACGCCGAGGCCGUAGGCGCGGUGGCCAUGAGGCCGGCCGGGCGCGGCGGCGCCCCGGUGGCCGGCGCAGCCGAGCACCCCGCCACCUCCUCUUCCUCCCCAUCCCGCGCGGCGGUCCCUGUGCGGCCCGGCGUCCGGGGUCCGCGCGCGGCUCCCCGUGGCGUGCAACCUGGCGGCGGCCGGCGGCCGGCGGGGGCGGCCAGUGCCUGCGGGCCCGGUGGUGCGGCGGCGCGGCGUGCAGGCGCGGCGCCCAGGGAGCCUGCAGCAGCGGCCCGCCAAUGCGGGGAGGCCGAGCAGUCGCGGGGAGGCAGGGCCCGCGGUGGUGCCGUGCGUGGGGGUGCAGGCGGCUCCGACGGCGGCGCGUCUGGCCGGCAUUCUUUUUUGUUUUGCUUUUUUUAAAAUCGGUUUCCAGGGCGGGUGAUGUUAUCGCCCGCUAUUUGCAGGGUCGGUCGACGCCCGCCCCGGCAACCAGCCAUUUUUUUGCUGCGAAAAGAGACGUGAGGCGGCACCUGCAGAUACCAUUCCCGCCCCCUCAAACAUUUUCUGUAGCAGUGACCGGCCGGGGAAAUAAUGGAAUCGAACAACCAGUUGUUUCCGCAAACUGAUGGCUAGGCGUGUCUGUUGUUUGAUUCUUUGUAUACCAAUCGAUGUCUUUAAAACGCUCUGAUCAGUUGUGAGCUUGUGAACGCUAGUCCCACUGAAGUCUGAAUUACACGGAUUCUCUAGCCGAGUUGCGCUUCAAUAUGAACGCCUCUAACCAUCAACAGCGAUUGGUUGAUUAAAGCCAUUCAUCGUAUCUUUAAAAGACGAAUCUUGGUCAGGCUCUAGGGUGUUUCUCGAGCACUCGUCCAGCCACGUCACCUAAAUUUUCUCGGUGGUCCAUUCCCAUACCAACGAUCAGAUUCAAGCCCCCGGCUUACAUUGACCAUCGGCUGUGUCUUCUUCCUCCGGCCAAAUUCCAGAACCAUCAAGAGCUCCCUCGAUGCAUCCGGCCGGCAGCCACCCCCGUCGCGAGGAGGUUAAGGACGACGUGGGUCAGUGCGUGCCGCGUAGGGCGGGCGAGCGGAGCGGCGUCGCCGGCUGCAGAUCCGGCAAGCAAGGGAACGGCCUCGGCGCCUGGCGCGCGGGACGGGCAGGCCGGGCCAUCAGCCCGUCGCUGACGCGCCUUGCAAGGUCUCAGGCGCAAAUGACCACGCACACGGAGAUCCGACGCGUCGUUGCCCACCCGAGGAGGGCUUCCUCGUGACUGGAGACGAGAUACGGCGGCCAGACCGCGACGAGCUGCGCUACGCCGCCGCGACCGCCCACUGCCGGGUAGCAGUGUAGCACGACCCUGUGCCGUCCAUAGCUGGGUCCUCCUCCGCGGUGGCGGCUUCCGAGGGCCGUACGGCAAACAUACGGGUCUCAGGCCUGCGUGCCCACGAGAUAGACAAGUACUGUUCUGUCAACUUGAUCCGUAAUUGAGCUCUGAGUUCAAUUCCGCUGUGGCGCUGUCAAUCUUUGAGUUACGAACCUGAUUCUUAUUAGGUCGCUCAAUAGACAAAUGGGAGCAAUGAUUGGUUAAAUUAUUCAGAUUCUUGGAAAUAUUAAUUUGCCUGUUUUUGUUUGAAAUAUAAAAUUAGCAGUAGCUUACAAUAGUGUCUACUUAGAACUUAUCAGAGGUCAAUUCCUUUUCCAUUAAACAAAUUUGUAUCGAAAUGCAAUCUUCACAUUUCAAAAAAAAAAGGCAAUUUUGAAUUGCAUUUCCGUAGUGACCGGCUCAAGGUAGCUAACCUACUUGCAAGCCCUCUUGAGUCUUGACUGAAGAAGCAGGAAGCCAACAAAAUACCUUUCUCAUUUAAAAUUUAUGUUGGCUUCUUAUUUAGGUAUUAGCUUCCUAUUAAGGUACCUGAUAAUAAUAAUCCUGCCCCUAACAAAGAGAAAUUUGACACAGUAUACGAAGCAAUGAAAAAACAUGUCGUUUUAGAAGUGUAGAAACACUGAACGACCAUUUUUCUUCUUACCUCGGCUAAAAAAUUCAAGAUGGAUAUAACAAAGACCAUAACUGUUGGUAUAAUCAGCAAAAACUCGGCAUAGGCGCGGCAAUGCCGCGCCAUGGUUUUCUAGGGCGCAUUUGGUUGGUCGCACGAGGCUCGUCCAGGCUCCAGCAAUUCAUGUUGUUGUUGAUUGGUUGCCUGCAUGUUGGCCAGAGCCGGGCUCGGCGCAUGCAAAAGGCACUGGUGAGUCUGACUCCCGGGAAACGAAAAUGAAAUCCGUUUCUCGCCGGCCAGGCUCGCUGGAUGCAGGCAGCUGCUAGCUAAUCAUGAUAUUUAAUAGGUGAUUAGCAUAUAUUAAGUGAGAUUAGUGUUUUUUAAGAGUGAUUAAGAUUUAAUGAGUUAAAGUAAGAACUAUUAAAAUAUUUUACACAAUAUAAAUAGCAUAAUGAUACUUGGUUGUAGUAUUUUAUCUCAUGCAAUAUAUUCUCGUGCGAGCAACCAAACAACUUCUAUUCACGACCUGACCAGAUUAAUGCGUGCAACCAAAUAAACUCAUGUUGCAUUCGUUGAGCCUGGCUAGCGGGAGCCUGGCUCCAGGUACGAGCCAGGCUAGCCUCAGCAACGAACCACACGCGCCCCUAGUGUGUCACUCAACUGGGCUGGCAGUGGUCCUACCCAAACGUGCCCUCUUGAUAACUCCUACACCCAUUCAAUUUGCACAAUACGUUGAUAUGGGGCAACAAGUGCGCAUAAAAAAACGUGUCGCGAAUGUACAAUCAAUGGCCCACUGUGUCUUUACUACCCGCAGUCGGUCAGAAAGCAAGCACAACAGCUCGGCUGCUCCUCUUCUUCUUUGCCACGUUGUUAUAAAAGAUCAUACUCUCUUCAUUUCAAAAUAUAAGAUGUUUCAAAAUAUGAGACGUAUUAGGAGUAAAAGAAGAAUUUCAUUGACUUUAACGAAUAAUUGGUCCAAUUAUAUGCAUGCUUAGUCUAUAAAGCUGUAUCAAUAAUAAUUCACAUUUCAAAUAUCUUUUAAUAUAAAUUAAUUAUGUAGCAAGUGAUGACAUAUUAUAAAAACUAGUUUCUAAAUCUCACCUUACCAGCUUUCGGAAUGUUUCCGAACCACAAUAGCUUUGAAAUGCAGCAGGAAUGAAAGGGAUUGAAUGUGUAAUGGGAAAACGGUGAAAAGUUGGCCAAGCAAUUCUUUGCUCUCUGUCUGGCUAGGCUUCUUAGCGCCAGGAAAGAGACAUUUUUUCUAAAAAAAAAAAAGUUAGUUCUUUACUCAUUAGACCUAUCAUUAGCAUCUUUAGGCCCCAGCUUCAUGCCAUUUGUGAAGGUCAAGCCACUAUAUCCUGUAUACUAAGCACACUUGCACUUUGAUAUGCACACUUGCUCUUCAUCCUGUCCCUACACUAACUGGCCCCCCAAAUGUAGUAGCCGAGGGACCUCUCAGCGAACGAGCGCAACCAUUCACCCUGCACGGCAUGUUGACCGCGCAACAAACCACAAGCGUAUACUAGUAUAAACAUCAGCAAGUAGCUAGUGAGCAUAAAAAACGUGCCGCAAAUGCACAGUCAACGCCCCGCUAGUCUUUGUGCCCGUCUUCUUACCACCCGGACCACCAGACCGAUGGGCAGCUGGAACGGCUAGUCGGUCAGAAGACCCAACAGGACAGGCACACCUGCUCCCCACAGCACAAGCCGAUCCCGAAUUCCCGAUGACGCAGCUCAGGAGUCAGGAGGCGCCCCUUGACCCGGAAUCCCGGAUCCCGCGAGCGCCUCGUUUGACUCCAGAGAAGAAUCGAUCGAUCGCGUUCGAGUGCGUGGCGCCGCGAGCCGGACCGGGAUGGGAAACCGCCAGAUCUCGCGAGCCCGUCAGGGCAGCUCCAUCGUACGUUUUCGGGAGGGUGCGGAAUCUUUUGGACUCGCACCCUUGCUAAACAGUGGAGCGCAGGGGUGCUAGCGCUAUCCGCAAAUUUUCAUUUGCGGAUAUAGGUACUGUGCCUUAAAGUGGCAACUGACAUUGCAUGUCCCAAUUUUUAACUUGCAGAUGCAUGUACUCUGGCUCAAAAUGGCAACCUAGAUUGCUCUAGACCGAGUUGUCGACUCGGACGACUAGCCCAAAACUAACCGCGAUUAAUCAGUGUCUAGCCACGAUUAAUCAUCUAAUCGCUGCCCUAGCGACGAGGCUCGAUUUAACUAUUUGAAAACAUUGGCUGUCACAGUAACCGCACGCGAUCCAGUGCGAUCAACGGCGAGGACCACAGAAGCGACUCAAAGAGCACAUGCGGACGCGCGCGCGCAGCAGCAGCAGCAGCGACCCAGACCCACACGAGACACGCGACCCGGACCGGACCCCCAGCACGCGCUCGUGACGUAACAGCGCUCAGGUGCCGCGCCCCGCCGCUCCGUGCCGCGCCUGCGCACGCGGCGGACGCGAGGAGCCAGCGCGCGGGCUGGAUCGAUCGAUCCGGCUCCGGCCGGCCUCCCGUGCCACCGAAGCUUCGGAACGGGGGGGCCUGGCCCUCCCGUCACCCCGUGGAUAAACUGGAAAUUUUCCCUCUCCCACUCGUGCUGAGCGAAUGGUGGUAUAUGCAAAUCGGGGCAAAUCGGGCUAGGUAAAGACUGAUUAAAUUUGAGCUUACCAGCUAGGCUUACUACUUAGCUGAAUCCCAAAUUAUACACUCAAGGGCUAGUCGUUUGACUAAACUCGCUUGAUCGAUCGACUAGGUAAUAUAAUCAAAUCGAAUCCCCUUGUGUCUAGGGACCGAUUUCUUGAUUAAUCAUUGAUAAAUUGGGGUGAUUAAUCGAGUGAUUUGAAAACACUGGUGACAGCACGUGCGAGUGCGAGUCCUUUUUUCUUAUCGAAACGCUAACGUCCAUCGGACGAUCAGUGUGUGCUCGAUCGGGAGUCAGGUGCUUUUCUUCUGCACGAAAUGUGGAUGCAAACACACACACACACAAAAGAAAAAGGGUUUCCACUCAACCAGGUGAGUGCCGAUGGCGUCGUUGUUGUUGUGCACAGACAGUGGUCAUGUCAUGAUAUUCUAUGUCUCCUGGUGGACCCUGAAGCUUUGAUAUGUGGGGGCUUUGCUGUGAAUUAAAAGCAUCUUAAAGAUCGAGUAGCCCCAGGAGAGAGACAUUUCGGCAGAGAGGUUACUUCAUUAGAUUUGUGGUAAAUAGCAACAUAUAUAUAUGAAUAUAUGAUAUAGUAUGUGUGAAGGAAUGUCACAAGCCAUGUGUGGGGGUCCAUUAACCCUGCUGCGUGGCUCCACUUUAUUCGUUCCCCGCUCAUUGGUAAGCAUUCCACUAUUAAAAAUGAAAAGUUUUGAUCUUCGCAAAAGUUGUCGUAAUAAGAUCAUGUUAACUUAUAAGCCAUGGCACACCCAUAGUGGUGGGAGAUUUUGCGUCGCGCUUUCUACAACGGGAUACGAUUCACAAAGCACCAUGCUGAAAUGGAACCGUUGUUUUUAAACUGGACGAUUUGCAACACGAAAAUCUCGUCUCUUUUCUUGUUUGGAAGGUGAAAUAAACGACCUUUCUUUACCACUUUGUUGCUGGCGUGGAUAUCGACCUUGUUUGGGAGAAAGGGGCUAAAGUUUAGCCCUAGGCUAAAGUUUAGCUCACUCAAAUGGAGUGCUAAACUUUAGUCCUUUGGGGUGUUUGGGUGGAGGACUAAACUUUAGCACCUGUGUUGACAAAAGACUUAUUUACCCCUACUUUCUCUCCUAUCCUUUACCCCUUCUCCCCUCUUUCCUUUGACUCAGUGCAAACUCUCCAUCCGCAAGGGCCCCUUAUCAUCUUCGAUCGAGUCCAAUACGUGCAUGCGUCGUCGCCGUCGUGCUCCUCCGCUUCAUCCUCCCGCUCCUUGGGCGACGGCGCACUUAGGGCGGCUCCGAUGCGCAGGACGGCACAGUCGGUGCCUCAUCCGUGGGGGCCGGAUCUAGCUCUAGAGGCUUCGUGGUGGCGGUGGCGACAGCUGUGGGCGCCAGAGCCCCGCAGCCGCGGCAGCAGCGAGGACCGCAGUGAGGCAGAUCCACGCGGCGGCGGCGGUGGCAGCGAAGUGCCGAGUGGAGGUGGCGGGGCUCGGCGGAGGCCGUAGGGUCGGGCAGAUGCGGCAGUGCCGGUAGAGGCCGCGGUGGCGGCAUGGGCGGCGGGGUCGGGCUGAUGCGGCGGUGCUGCCGGAGGCCGCAGGACUAGCCGGAGGCGGCAGUGCCGGGCGGAUGCGGUGGGGUCGGGCGAAGGCCGCGGAGCCGGCUGGAGGCGGUGGGGCCGGGCAGAGGGUCGCGGGGGUGUCACGAGGGAGGAAAGAGAGGAGUGCGGGGAGGGGGGCAAGGGGGAAAUAAUGGUAUCUGGGACCACUUUUAGCUCUUUUAGUCCAUUUUAGCACCCCUUAGAGGGGCUAAAAGAUUUGGGAGGGCUAAAGUUUAGCACCCCUCUUUUAGCCCUCCUGGGAGCAAGAGGUUAAAAUUUGGUUAAAACGGGACCCCCUCCAAACACCCCAUAUAGUACUAAUGAAUGAAAGUUCUGGGUACCAAGUUCCUUUUCCAAUUAAUCUCCAACAGCUAGGGCUUCUCCUAUCCCUCUCUUUUUUCCCCUUAUUAAGAGAGAGAGGUUACCAACUGCAACCACUAGCUACUUUGCUGUACCCAUCCACAGGAUUAUGAAGUAGCUAGUCACGACCAACUUUAUUUUCUAACCUUUGGGAAAGCUCUUGCCGGCCGCCACUUGCUAAUUAAACAAAAACAGUGGGAAAGAGAAACCUAUUCUAAAAAAGACAUGCAAAAACAACUCGUGUUUUGGUCAGACGGCGUGUAUACGUAGUAGUAGGCCCAGACGGCGCAUAUAUAGUAGCUUGUGAACCUUCCACGCGAUUGUACAUUUUGAGCAAUAUAGAUCCGUGAUUAACAGGUCAUGGAUGAGUUCAUAAAAAUGAUUUUGUGUUGAAAAUGAGAUAGUGUUCUAUAAUGUAGAGUUCGUAUGGGCACGCUAGCGGUGAGGUCACACUGCACACGGUUGUGGUAGAAAAAAGAUUUGAAAAUUCAAUCAAAUACAUUAGUCAAAAGGGGAGGACUCCACGUCCAUUUUUCUUUUUUCAUAAUUUGUGAACAGAAAAAAUGUCCUUAUGAUGAUUGUGUGAUUUUUAAAACUUUUGUGCAUCUUUGCACUUCUUCAUAACACAUAUAUGCGGAAAGCAUUCUAAAAAAAAAACAAGGAGGGUGGAUGGUUCACUUCCACAACUUAAUUUCGAGCUAAUAUUAUUUCUUAGCACGUGAAAUACUUCUAAAUUUGAAACCGCUCACCUUGCUCCUUCGAGACGAAUCAUUCAACUAACCGGGGCAUCCAACAAUAUAAAAUGACAUCACAACCAAAAACCAACCAAAGAAAAGAAAAUCAUCGACAAUAACGACACGAAUCAUUGAGGAAACGGUCGAGGCCAGGUCUUGCAAGUACGCACACACAGGCAGAUACGACAGGCUGGUCGUGUUGGGAGUUGGAACGCAACUCCAAGAUCGCCCAGCACGUACGAUCCCAUCAUCACCCAACUAUAUAAAAAACCUCUUACCAAAAAACCAUAUAAAAAUCGAGGGAAAAACAUCACAUAACAGAUAACACCCUAGCUAACUGCCCUACCACUCCCUGCCGAUAAGAACGAGCCACAUUUUUCGUCCGGCCAGACCCCAGUGGUUGGCGUGUCACCAUCUCCGCUCCCGCGAGGCUGCGUCGAGCCGUCCGAUCGCCGCCGCGCACAUCAGCGACCACCACCACGCUUCACCGAGCUUUCGCCCGGCACUAACUAACGAACGAACCCCCGGGCCCGGCAGCAUCACCAAUGAUCCAAAGCACUCGCUAGCUCCUAAUUCGAUCACCUGCCGAAUUAGCUAGGGAUUAAACCUAGCCCAGGUCAAAAAGGCGACGCUUCUCCAACCUCACCCACCUCGAAGCCACCCGGCCGCACCCACAAGGCCGCAAAGCUGCUGCCUUUAUAUACCCGCGCGCCGUCCCCCCGUGUCCUCCAACUCGCCAUUCCGGCAUUCCGCUACCCACCAGCGACACCCGGUUCUUGAACACCACCACUAGCCAGUCCCCAGAGCCGCGAGCGCCAGCGGUGAGGGUGCAGAGCAGCGACGACGUGAAUUGAUUGAUCAUGGGGCUGAGGAAGCGCCUGCUGCGGUGCUUCGGGUACGGCGGCGAGGAGGGGGCGGAUCAGGAGCAGAAGGAGGAGGCGGCGGCCCGGCCGGCGGGCGGGAGGCGGGCGGGGACGAAGCCGACGCUGCGGCGGCUGAGCACGGCGAACCUGCGGUCGCUGUCGCUGCAGGACCUGUCGCGGAAGCUGGAGACCACCAAGCUGCACGCCUUCACGCUGGACGAGCUCAAGGCGGCCACCAAGAACUUCUCCACCGCCAACUUCCUCGGCGAGGGCGGCUUCGGCCCCGUCUACAAGGGAUUCGUCGACGCCCGCCUCCGCCCGGGCCUCGACCCGCAGCACGUCGCCGUCAAGUACCUCGACCUCGAGAGCGGCGGCGUCCAGGGACACCGCGAGUGGCUGGUACGACGUCGCUACCAUCCAAACACUACCAGCCUCUCGUCGUCCUUUCAAUCACGUUAAUUAAUUGCGUGCUGAUGAAUCUUGUCUCUCUGGAUCUAAUCCGAUCUGAGCAGGCGGAGGUGGUGUACCUCGGGAUGCUGAGCCAUCCGCAUCUGGUCAAGCUGGUGGGAUUCUGCAACGAGGACGAUCAGAGGAUGCUGGUCUACGAGUACAUGCCCAGGGGCAGCCUCGAGAACCACCUCUUCAAGAGUAAGUGCUUCAUCAAUCAUCAAAAAAUUUGUGGGAUUCUCUGAUCUGAUCGAUUGGCCGACACUAACAUCUUGCGUUCAUGCAUGUGAUUGCAGAUCUCCUCGCAUCGCUGCCAUGGUCGACGCGGCUCAAGAUCGCUGUCGGCGCGGCCAAGGGGCUGGCGUUCCUGCACGAGGCGGAGACGCCGGUGAUCUACCGCGACUUCAAGGCAUCGAAUAUUCUCCUCGACUCGGUAAGUUUCUCUUUCUUCUUAGCAUCAACAGCUAGCGCACAGCACAUUCGCCGCAAAAAUCAAUGAGCUGACCUCUUUAGUUUUUUACUGACGAGCCAUUUAGGACGAUAAAGAACUGCAUGAUUAGGUGCCUGUGCCUAGUCGCUGUCAAGUUGCAGAUUGUUUAUUACCGUUGGAACCGGAUCCCUUUUGUUAAUGUUUCUUACCUACACGCCAACCAUGCUAAUUGCUCGCGCACGUUGUCAACGAUCCGUGUCGAAGCUUCGCUUCGUUAAGAAUUUGUGACACUCGUGCUCAAAUCUGAUUUGUUCUGCAACUACCGACAAAUUCGCAGCAAAACGCCUCGGCUUUUUAUUCUAGGUGCCGGCUGUUAGGGAUAAUCUAAUUUGAGUACAAUAAUUUGGUUAGUUUGGAAACCUAAUGCUCUGUAGUCUGUAGCAGUUGCAAAGUGUAACCAUCCUUGACGUGUGCAUCCCCAACCACUGUUGCGUUGCACAUCAUUGACGGAGUCAAGUGUACAAAAGCACAGUAGUUCUCCUUAUAAAACUGUUGCUGAUCUUGACAUUAUAGAUGAGAUGAACGCAGAUGUUGCUGAAUUCUGACAGCAAGUUUUUGUCAUGAUGACCUUCACUCCUCAGGACUACACCGCGAAGCUGUCCGAUUUCGGGCUGGCGAAGGAGGGCCCGCAGGGGGACGCGACACACGUGACGACGCGCGUGAUGGGCACCCACGGGUACGCGGCGCCGGAGUACAUCCUGACGGGCCACCUCACGGCGAAGAGCGACGUGUACAGCUUCGGCGUCGUGCUCCUGGAGCUCCUCACGGGCCGCCGCUCCGUCGACAAGCGCCGCCGCGGGCGCGAGCAGAACCUCGUCGACUGGGCCCGGCCCUACCUCCGCCGCGCCGACCGGCUGCACCGGGUCAUGGACCCGAGCCUGGAGAUGCAGUACUCGGCGCGCGCGGCCGAGAAGGCGGCCAAGGUGGCGCACCAGUGCCUGCAGAGCGUGCCCAAGGCGCGGCCCUCCAUGCGCGACGUCGUGGGCGCGCUGGAGCCGCUGCUCGCGCUCGACGACGACGUGCCUAUGGGGCCCUUCGUGUACACGGUCGGCGGCGGCGGGGCCGAAGCGGCGGAGGCCGCGCCGGCGCCGGCGCGGGCCGAUGACGAGGCCGCCGCGAACGACGAGGAGGCGGAGGCCGGCAGCCGGCAGGGCAAGAGGCACGUCAUGUCGGCCGUGCACGCGGAGAGCCCGCUGCGGUACGCCAGCGCGGUGAAGAGGCCGGAGAGCCCGCCGACGCUGAGCAGAGCAUGAGUAAAACGGAGCAAAGCGGCGAAGGGAUCACAAGAUUCACAAGUGUACAUAGCUGACAAUGUGUCCAUGAAUUCUUUUGUUUUUGGGUUUCUUGGUGAUGUUAUUCUUCCUCCCAAGAAUUUGAAGGGGAGAGAUUUUGUUUCCUUUUUUCAUUGUAUUGUUAGUAUACUGCCGAGAAUACCUCAAAUUGGUGUAUUUGUAUACUGGAAGUUUGAGGCAACACGUAUUGCAAAAGCUGUUCAAUUUGAACAUAUAGUCUCCUCUGAAUUUUCCGUCUACGAAUGCGUUGAGCUAAUGAUUGGAGGAAGAAGGUAGGUAAGGAAACAACAAAGACUUCCCCUUUGACCUAGAAAUGCAGUGGUACAAGAAAACAUGUGAAAGAGCACGGGAGCACUGAGAGCGAAAAGUUUGAACACCAUUUCAAAUUUUCAACGACGUAACAGAGCAAGCGAACUACCACCACCAGAGACAUGCAACAAAGAUUGAUUCCGUCUACACCCAGACGAAACUUCUAAGACUGAAACACCAUGGUUCCUCCUCCUUGUUGCCUCCUAGGGCACUUGGUUGCAAUUCGUAGCCUAUUUUAUGAUGUUCUACUAGUGAAAACUCAUUGUCCCACAGUAUAUAUUGUUUGUUGAUAAAGUUUUAUUAUCAUAUUAUUUUGUAUUUGGUUGCUCCAGUUGUGAAAAAUUAUUAUUAUGUUGUAUACUUUGGUUCCAGCAAUGAAUUUUUCCCUCGAUAUUACAUUGCGGAUAAAACUUUCAGUAAAGUGGACUGAAAUUCCCUAUCUACCAGGAAAACACACUAGCAAAAUACAACAGUCGAACUGUGGGCUGGAACACAUCCAAAUUAUUAUGGGCUAAAAUCUUAUUGGGCUCAAGGAAAAAUUUAAAUUGGCCCGUGCCGUGAAAGAUUUUUUUGGAUAGUAGGGUGGCCUGCAUACUACUGCUUGGCUGCUUGCAAUUCACAACUGCUCCCUCCGGUGUGGUGCCCCGAUGCCACCGCCUCCCUCGUCGCCUCUCGCCCCGCCCUCUUCCCCCGCGUGGGUCCGCAGCCUCGAUGCGCAGCGGUGGUGCGGUUGCUGUCGACGGCUUAUUCUUCAUUGGCGGCUCAAAUAUCUCCAGAUCCAGCCACGCCGGACGAGGUUGCCCGGGGCCAGCGCCGGCGGUUGCAGGAGCGCGGGCCCGCAGCUUAAGCUAGGAGGCUGACGCGGACGACGGCUCCUCAUCGCCUUCUCGCUUGAUUGGGGCGCUGGAGGGUGACAGGGAGGAGGAAGCCGGCAGCCGAGGGAUUGAGGCACUGAGACGAUGGAGUCAUGGAGACGCAGCGGACGGCAGAGCUUUGAUGGAAGAACAGGCGAGCUUGGACGACGUCGUCCUUAUAGAAGCCUAUAUCAUUUAGCUGCAGAAAGGGGUCAGUUCGUAUGUGUUGCAGCAGCGAGAUGUGAGAUGUCGGCUUUGUGCAUGUUGAUUUGUACUGCUGCGAACCCAAAUUCAUGGAUUCUGGAACAAGAACCUCAGGUCGGCUCAAGUUCUUGUUUGGUAGAAGCUCAUGGUCUUUAGUGGCUGUCGUGCAAACAAGGUGUUCGACCAAAUGCCGCUGCGGUCCUCAAUAGCAAACAAGGUGUUCGACCAAAUGUCGCUUAUGCUUUUCUGCAGCGCUGCGAGGCUGCGGCUGUGGGGCAGCUACAGCCGGCCAACAACCGCUACUGCAGCCACACAAGCGUGUUCAAUUGCUGCAGCCACUAAAAAAAUAAGUUAAUGGGAAUAGCUAAUGGUAACGAGAGCUGCAGCUGUUAAUGGAAAAAUAACUUUUCUGUACGUUGCUUAGACAGCCAAACGCUGGGCUGCAGCUACAGCUGCUUGGACCUGCAGCCGCUGCCGCUGCAAAGUAGCUCAAGCGAACAUGCCCGCGUCACCAGUGGAGAUACUGCCCGAGGUAACACCGCCCCCUCCCUUUAUAUUUGUUCGUAUUGCUCUGCAACAUUGGAUGAAUGGAUUCCUCUAUAAGUUGUUUCGCACAAAAUCCUCCUCAAAAUGCAUAACGGUUCAUGAUAUGUGGUAACCCCAUGCAUUGGUAAGAAUUGCUCCCAGCUUGUUGGACGAGAUCCUUUAUUAGUUACAGUCUAAGAACUCUUGUAAUUUUCGGCUAUAUAUAUAUAUAUAUAUAUAUAUAUAUAUAUAUCCAAAUGUGGAUAUAAAGGCGGAUGUUUUAUCCAUCAUCUAAAAAAGUUACAGUCAAGUGCUGUUGGUAUAAUUCCGCAACCAUUGACAGUUGGUAAUUGCUCCCAGUUUCUAUUUGGUUUUGCACUUAGUUUGCAUUCAGUGACCGGUCUGUUUUGCACUAAUUAGAUCAGUCUGUUACUUUGCAUUAAGUGACAAAUCCGGUUGCAACCUCUGUACUCAAUUUUAAGAAUUGAGUUUCCCUCUGCUUUGCUUAAAAUGGUUCCUACACAGUUCAUGAGAAUCUGACUUUGGGUCGAGUUCAUAAAAUUCUGAUACUACAACCAGUGUCUCAGUAAUGACACUUGGUGUCACAUUUAUUGAUCGUUCUAUUUUAACCCAUGACUACAUGAUAUAAAACAAACAUACUGUCACAUAUACUUGCUUGGUUCUUUCAGUUACAAGAGUUGAAGGAUUUCAAACAAGUCAACUGGGGAGUCACCUGUAUAUUUGACUUGUGAAGCUCAGUUAAAUUACUGAAGUUCAUUCUUCCUUUUGCAUUGUAACCGGUACGUUUUACUCCACACAUCACCAGAACUGAGUUUACACCCCUCAGCUAUUCCAGUCUUUGUGUUUUACAUGUUACCCUCUUAUAUGCAAGAACGACUAAGGUCUAACGCAAAGGUAACUUUAAGUUCUGGACUCCAAAGAAAAGCAAUGUAAGACUGCUUGUGUGAUAUAAUUUAAGAUCCGUGGCGAUGCUCUGCACAUUGGCUAGUAAAGAAAGAGGCACUGAGCUUAAGAGGUUACAAAUACAAGAGACAUAGUACAUAAGUCCACACAACUUCCGUUUAACCACAUGCUAUUACAAGUUUGACCGGCAUUCUUCCUUGGACCAGAGUAAAUGGUCUUACAUUAUACAUAGUUUUGGUACUUGGUUAAAUUGGCUCAUCAAGUUGUUUUCUGGCAAGACUGACAUUAUACCAAGCCAAAUCUUGUUUGCAAAUCAUAUACUUUGUCUUAGCAAAUAUGUUUGCUGUAUCAAUUAUCAGAACCUCCAGAGCAGGGGCAGUUUAAGCAGAGUAAUUCUUGAAGUUUUUUUCUUAUAAUUCUUAGAUGAGUUGCACUGUGGAUAUAACUCGAUCAAAGCAUAUAUGCAGCACACUAGCACAUUACAAUAUUAGUUAACAUGUGAAAUGCGUGCACAAGCAUCGCACUUAUUACAUACAUGUUCACAGAAAAGCCUUGUAGAUCCAAAUUCCUGACCUAUACAUAGGCACCACAACCACAUAUAUGGUAGAUCAAACACACUUUGAAGAAACACACGCGAGAUGGCAAGACUAAGUAUCCACGCGAACACACUAUCAGACACACUUGCACAAGUAGCAGAGGAGCCCGUGCACACAUGCAGGAUAAGCAAACACACAAUGCAAGCACAAGCAGCCACACUCAUGCAUACAUGCAUAUGUAUGCAUUGUAUUUGGUGAUGAAUGGAAGGAAUGAGAGUCCUUCCUCCUUCUGCGUAGUUCAAUUCUGUGGUGGAUUGCGUAUAAGUACAGGAAAGUUUGGGUGUUCUGCAAUGUCUUUACUCAACUGAUCCGCAAUGUCUUUACUCACCUGAUCCUGGAUGAUGUUUCCAUCACCCUUGAGCACAAGCUCCUUCAGAACAGGGAGAUUCUUGAUUCCAGAGAGAGACUCCAUCUUGGUGAAGGACCAUACAAUUUUCUCGAGCUUAGGAGCUGCAUCGGAAUGGAAUUUGAUGCUGGUGAUCGUGCUACACUCGACGAUAAGAAAUUUAAGCUUUGGGAGCACAUGUGAGUUGAAGGUGAGCUCUCUCUGGGUAUAUGACUUGAACCGAAGCUUGAUGCGUUGCAGACCUGACAGUUUUUUGAGGUGUUCCUCCAGAGUGCUGUGGUCGAGCAAGGUAUCACGCAGAGUUACCUUGGCAAUGAGUUUGUGAUGGUCAUCUUUGAAAAACAAUGGAAGAAGCUCCCUGCUUGUGCUGCCGCUGAUGCUUAGUCUCUCAAGAAGCUCAAGAUGGAAUGAAGUAUCUGGGUUUAUAUGCUGUUCUUCCGCAGCUUGGGCCACAUCUCCGGAGCUUUGUUUUUCGAUGUGGAUUGACAAAGACUGGAGGCAUUCAUUCAGAUCACCGAUCGCUUUGAGCCAAUCCUUCAGAUUGCCAUUAAUAACUGCACCAAGUUUCCUUAGCUGCCAUAGAUGGCCAAUGUGUUUCAACACGUCAGCAUCAUGUGAAGCAUUGACAUGGGACAGAACCUCCAUGUUUGGCAUUGCACUGAUCUUUCUAGGAAUCUGGACAGAGGGAACGUGUUUGUCAGCCAUCCUGGUGCUUGUAGUCUGUGUGUGACCAGCCAACAGACACUUGAGCUUCGGGAGCAUGAUAUCUUUUGUGGCAUCAUAGGGCACCCUGGUUUGCUGGAUGUCCAAUAUUUCUAGAUGCAGAAGGUUGUUGAUAUUCUUGGGCAACUUGUCAACAUCCGUGUUCCGUAUGCUGAGAUACUUGAGCAGAAGCAUGUUACUGCAGAUGUUCUUGAGGUACAGGCGCAUGUUCUUGGAGUCUUUUCUUGGAACAGGGUUCUUUAAGUAUGUGCAAUCUUCUAGAUCGAUGACUUUGAUCAGGUUGAGCUGCGCUGGAGAAAACAUUGAUCUGCGGCCCUUCUUUACAAGGUUUAGCAUGAAAUCUUGGAUGGUGUCCGAUCGACGGAGUCGCAGGUCGCUGUGGACAGAGAAGUGCUGGGCCAAGUGGCGCGACAGGCGCGGGUCCAGGAACUGCUCUUCUUUGGCACCGUCAUUGAUGAGCCCCUGAAUUAGCUUGUGCUGUAUAGUGCAGGUCCUCACCUCCCUUGCAUCAGUAAUGUCAGCAGGGCAAACAAACCAACGGCUGACGAGAGUGUCAAAGCAGCGCUCAGCUCGGAGCACCGCUCGCCUCAUGUCUCUUCCGGCGAUGAGACCUUCAACAAUCCACCGCAUGACGAGCCUCGACCGCCAGAUUGUUCUGCCGGGAGGGAAGAUUGCCAGGUACAGCAAGCAGUUUUGGUUGGCUCUUGGAAGGUCGUUGUAGCAAAACUUGAGCAGCAUCUUGCCAUUGGCUUCCCUAAUCUCGGUGGCAUCACUGUCGUCCGGUGGUAAACUCCCCGUGGAAACCAGCGUCCUGACUAGCAGCUCGUCCAGCUCUUCUUUGGUCCUGUUUGGGUUGGCACACAGGUAGUGGACAAACAUCUUGAUGCAGAAGGCUUGCGGCUUGCAGCAUUCCUGGAUCUGGCGUAAGAUGCUCCUCAUGUUUCUCCGGAGGUAGUCCGUUUUCAGUCUGCUUCUAUCCAGCACGGCCAGUGCUUUGGUAGACCAGUACUCAACAAGGGAGUGGAUUACAAGUGGCUGACUAGCGACAACGCCUCGUUCUCGACGAAGCUCGUCGGCAUGGGCCAUGUCAGUGACGAUCACUAUGGCUGCACUGCCAGGGGCGCAGUCGAAUUUGCCCAAAGCCUCCUUUAUCAGAUCCCACAAGCGCCCGGAGGCAGCACUGCCUUCAAUGACAAAAAGUGAUGCCGCGCCUUUCAGCCCCUUCCUUCUACUGAUCUCUUCGGCGAUCUUAGCUUCGUCCCAGUUGUCUUUCUCCUCCAUGUCCUUGCUGGCUUCGUCUGGGAACAGAUCAUCUAGCAAGAAACGGAGCAUGAACCAGAGGCCUCCUUUUUUCAGGAUUUGCUCAUAGAAAUUGAGCAAGGCAAACAAAAGGCCAAAGUCCAGCUGGAGCCAGGUCACCUUGAACGCUGCACUCACGACGGGAUCACCGAGUGCUUGCCGUACAAGGUCACCUCCAUCUUCCUUGUCUGGAGCUGCAAUGAAGAUGAUAUUGUCAAGAGGAUGCCAUGGCCUAUUUUGUUUCGCAGCUGCAGCUUCUUCUUGAUGGUUGUCAUACUUGGGGUGGCCUGUGAGCAACUCGACCAGCUUCUUGGUGUUCUCCUCCAGAAUGUUAGGCUCGGAAAACCCUAGAGUUGACCUCAUGAAAUCAUGGCUCACCGCCAUGAUAUUGAUAGGCCUUGCUCUACAUUCAUGAUCUCCUCCUUCAUCGUCGCCCGCAGUUUGAGUGGACAACCUCGCCACCUCUGUUCCUCCGGAUCCGACAUCCUUGCUGUUGCCCAUGGCAACUGACACCGCCUCCUCAGUUCCUCCUGAUCCGGGAUCGGUGUUGUUGUCGGUCUUCUCGGACAUGGGCAGUUGGAUGAAGAACGCCGGCUGCUGCUUCAGGGCUUGGCUGAUUGAUUUCACCAGCUGCUUGGCGUCGCUUCCCGGCAUCCCAGGGAGCUCGACGCCGUACCUCUGGCGACGUUCACUGACAUCGCGAGCCCGGACCUUGAGCUGCCGUAGCUGGGCAGCGGCGUCGCGCUGGGCGAGCAACGCGGUCAGGAACGACGUCGACCACAGCGACCGCAGGAGGGCCACGAGGCGGCCGCCGCCGUCGUCGUGGGCCACCAGCUGCCCACGGCCUUUGCGCACGUAGAGGUCGAUGCAGUUGCUGCAGUCGAAGGCGAGGUCCCGGACCUGCUUCAUCCACGUGCGCACCGGUGGCCCGUGCUCGCCGCUGGGGGGCGUGGUCUCGGCGAGGUGCCGGAGGAAGCUCUCCAUGCUCUCCAUCUCCUCCUGGAUGAAGCGCACGUCGUCGCCAACGCGUGUCAACUGCUGCGCCUCCUCCCGGAGGAGGCCCAGCAGGGAGCGGACGGCGCCGAAGGCGAGCUCAGCCAUUGCUGACGGCUGACGCUUGCUCACCAGCAAGUAUCAAUCUAUCUCAUUCUCAUACAAUCACCAUAGCUUUGCUGUCUAGCUAGGACUGAAUGAGACGGGAGUGACCAUGCACCAACAUGCAUGCAUAGGAACGGAAGAAAAGGGGCCGGUCAGACUCACAAUGAGGUUAUUAGUGACAGCCUGACAGGCUUUGAUUUUUUUUUAAAAAAUCACACUUCUUUCACUUUAUCCCUAGCCCUUUGCGUGUGCUAGUGUCUAACGAGAAGUUCUUCACCUGCAAGCCCUUUGCGUGUGCUAGUGUCUAACGAGAAGUUCUUCACCUGCAAAAAUGUUUUACAAGUACUCACUUGUAUGCAGACGUGGACAACAGCCAUCAUGCAUGAUUCAGGGAUGGUAAUCGUUCAUGAACCUUACACCUCCUUUACAAUCCAACUUAGCCAUAUCUAUUUUUAAUUUAAAAUCAUAUAAUAUUAUGAUCCAGCCCUUAUUAAGCCCGAUCCUUAAAUUUGCUAGGCUAAAUUAGAGAGUCCUUUACCAUCCCAAUGCAUGAAUGCCGAUUUUAACUUACCGAUUGAAAGGUUCGUUCGUGUCUGUGAUGGUUCAGCAAGACGGCGCCACCACAUGAGAGAAGACGGAGUUCCCAAAUGACGCCAUCGAGGAAUAGCUAGUAGAGCGUGGCGUGUAUGUGUGCAUGGGCCCAGGUGGCCUCUUUCCUACAAGGGGAGAUGUCUUGUAAUGGUGAAGACAAGUAUUAUCAAGUAAUCAAAUGGUAACGUGAAGGGGAAGCUUCCUUUCGCGGUUCCCCAUCUCUCUCUCUCGCGAUUCGAUCUCAUCAAUCUCACAUCGCCGGCGAUCGCCGACGGCAAUAGGCACGACAGGUGGUAUCAGAGACCUUACCUUCCUCGGCGUGGGUGUGUGGAGCAGUCAUGGCGGUGUGGGCGGCGGUGUUUUGAGGUGGCAGCGCGUGGCGACGGUGAUUUUUGACUUCGAUUUGGCGGCGUACUGCGGUGGAUUCCAUCAUCCUCAAAGGGAUUCAGGUGCGAGGAGCUUAGGUCAUGCGUUGGUGUGUUGAAUUGCGCUAUUCUGUCAAUCUGAUCUCGGAAAUAGGGUGGAUUUGGUGAGAUCUUGUUGUUUGCCGUGCUGCACCGGCGACGACGAUUGAUUUCCUGUAAUUUCUAUGCUACCUCGAGUCGAUUUGCAAGCGAUUCACCACGGCGCCACCGAAGCCUUCCGUGUAGUCCCAGCUCAUCCUAGAAGCAAUGGCAGAGCGGGCCACCAAGGACGAUGAGCAUUGGGAAGCUAUGGAAAAGAAGGUUGCCAAGGACGAGGCACGCUGGGACAACAUGUUGGAGAGCCUAGAUCUGCUGUUCGCUCGGGUUGAUGACAUUGACCAGGUGCAACAACGAAUGUAGGUGAACCAGGACCUCGCAACCAAGGCACUGGAGCAAGUACUCAUCGACCAGUCUGCACUGUCACAACAGAUACAUGCCACUGGUCAGGCGGUCGCUAAGCUGACAAUGGACAAGAUGCGGGAUAAUGAGUCAAACACGGGCUCGAUGGAAUAAGCACCAUAUCAUGAGAUGGCGCAGCGUCCUCCACCUCGACCACAUCCACAUCGCUCGGGGAGGGGGGGGAGGGGGAGGCUAACAGGAAAAAUUAUGAUGAAGGAACCUAACCGAAUCGUAAUCAUCUACCUAAGAUGGUGUUUCCUAACUUUGAUGGGAAGGAUCCUAAAAUCUGGAUAGACAAGUGUGAAGAUUAUUUUCGUAUUUUCAACAUUCCAGAGUUCUUGUGGGUCUCUAUGGCAUCAAUGAGCAUUAUCAAUGAUGCAGCUCGAUGGGUUCGUGUGCAAAAGAACAAAGGGGAUCUGGGCAAUUGGGCACAAUUCAUGGAGAAAGGAAAACACAAGUUUGGGGCUUAUGACUAUAUGGAUGCUUUGAGUGAGUUGUUGGAGUUGCAGCAACAGGGUUCUGUGGAAGAGUAUGUUUCUGCUUUUGAGUCUUUGCAGUUUCAAGUAGAGAUGCAUAACACAAGGUAUGACAAAAUGUUUUUCAUCACACAAUUCACCAGAGGUCUUAAGCCUGACAUCAGUGCUAUAGUUCAGUCUCAAGUACCUCAAACAAUGGAGAGAGCAGUCACGUUGGCUAGCAUUCAGCAGCAACUACAAGAAAGAGGGAAAUCCAAAUUUCAGAGAAAUACUAGUGCACAAAGAUAUUCUACUGUGAUUGCCAGUAUACAACAAGCUAAGCAAUUACCAGCCCCAUCUCAAUUCAGUAAAGAAAGGCAGAGGAGGGAUUAUUUCAAGGCAAACAACUUGUGCUUUUACUGCAUGGAGCAUUUGGAUGCCUCUCAUCUGUCUAAAUGUACCAAGAGACCAAGAGCUCAAGUGAACGCACUAGUGCUUAAUGACCUGGAUGUUGAUCUCAUUGAUGAAGUGUUGGAGCAGUUGGCUACAGAAGAUUCCUUAGCAGCUGAGUUUUGCUCAUUGUCUAUUAAUGCCAUUUCAGGGACUGAUGAACGAGAAGCCUUGAAACUCAGAGCACUAGUCAGAAACAAAGUAAUGCUAGUGCUGGUGGAUAGCAGCAGUUCUCAUAGCUUUGUCAGUUCAUCGUUUCUCCAGAAAUGUGGCAUAAGAGCUACACCAAUGAAGCCAAAGCUGAUCAAAGUGGCAAAUGGUGAUACAUUGAUUACUGACAAACAAGUCCUUCAAAUGGAGUGGUGGAUCCAGGGGUACACUUUUGGCACAGAUAUGAAGGUCUUAGAUCUAGGGGCUUUUGAUGCAAUAUUGGGUUAUGAUUGGCUAAAACCCUAUAGUCCUAUGGACUGUCACUGGGAGAACAUAACAAUGGCUUUCGAAGAUAAUGGAAAUAUGUGAAGCUCCAGGGAGUUGUACCAUCUCCUCCAACUCUUAGUGAAAUAUCUUCUGACAAAAUAGUGAAGUGGUGUGCUAGAAAUGAAGUUGGUGCAAUUGCUGUCUUGGAGGUAAUACCACCACCACCUCCUCCUACUAUUCCUCUAGAAGUACAAGCCUUACUUGAUGAGUAUGCUGAUGUGUUUGAGGAUCCCAAAACCCUACCUCCCACAAGACUCCAUGACCACCAUAUACCUCUAUUACCCAAUAUUGCACCUAUUAAUUCAAAACCAUAUAGAUAUUCUCCUUUACAGAAAGAUGAGAUAGAGAGACAAGUCAAAAAAACUUCUCACUGUUGGCUUGAUUACACCUAGUAACAGCCCUUUUGCCUCACCUGUCCUAUUAGUGCAAAAGAAGGAUGGCACUUGGCGUUUUUGUAUUGAUUAUAGAAAAUUGAAUGACAUCACUGUGAAAAAUAGAUAUCCUAUGCCUAUUAUUGAUGAGAUUUUAGAUGAAUUGGCUGGUACUAGAUAUUUUGCAAAGCUUGAUAUAAGAUCAGGGUAUCACCAAGUGAGAAUGAAGCCUGAGGAUGAGCAUAAGAUAGCUUUCAAAAUACAUCAGGGUCACUACCAAUUCAGGGUUAUGCCUUUUAGUUUGACUAAUGCUCCAGCUACUUUCCAAUGCAUCAUGAAUGAGAUUCUUGAGCCUUUUCUAAGAAAGUUUGUACUAGUGUUUCUGGAUGAUAUUCUUAUAAAUAGCCCUACUCGGGAAUCACAUCUGCAUCACAUCAAACAAGUGUUGGAGCAACUCAGAGCAUAUCAGCUAUACAUGAAGCUCAGUAAAUGCUCUUUUGCUCAAACUCAACUUAGUUAUUUGGGCCACUAUCUCUGAUAAAGGGGUGGCAACUGAUUCAAGCAAAACAUCAGCAAUGUUGAGCUGGCCAGUCCCUACUACUGUCACUGAGCUGAGGGGAUUUUUGGGUCUCACAAGAUAUUACAGAAAGUUUAUCAAGCACUAUGGCAUUGUGGCUAAGCCUCUUACCAACCUCCUCAAGAAGAAGAUGUUUGUGUGGAUAGAAGAAGCACAACAUACUUUUUUGCACCUUAAACAAUUGAUGGUUAGUGCUCCUGUCCUAGCCAUCCCAGAUUUCAAUACUCCUUUCAUCAUUGAAACUGAUGCCUGUGAAGUAGGAAUUGGAGCCGUUCUAAUGCAAAAGGAUCAACCGGUGGCUUUUUUGAGCAAGGCUCUAGGACCUGCACAUCAGAAACUAUCAAUAUAUGAGGAGUUUUUGGCCUUGAUUAUGGCAGUGGAAAGAUGGAGACAGUACCUCCAGAGACAAGAAUUUGUGAUUAGAACUGACCAUAAGAGUCUGUCCUACCUGUGUGAGCAAAACCUUCAUUCCGAAAUGCAGAGAAAAGCAAUGACAAGAUUGAUGGGUCUCCAAUUCAAAGUGGUUUACAAGAAAGGCAAAGAAAAUGUAGCUGCUUAUGCACUAUCCAGAAUGUCUCACAUGAUGGCUAUUAAGGCAGUUUCUGAAGUACAACGAGUGUGGCUGCAGGAGGUAUUUAAUGCAUACACCACAGACAAGAAAGCUCAAGAACUACUGACAAAAUUGGCCAUAACAAAUCCUAAUGAAUGUGGGUUCUCUUUGCAUCAAGGCCUCAUUAAACAUAAAGGGAGGGUGCGGAUCUCUAACAACUCAGCUUUGCAAACUAAGCUCAUUGCUGCGAUGCACUCCAGUGCAGUGGGAGGUCAUUCUGGAACAAAAGCAACCUACCAGAGACUCAUGAAACUCUUUCACUGGAAGGGAAUGAAGAAGGAUAUGGAAACAUUUGUUCAACAAUGCAGAAUUUGCCAGCAAGCCAAACAUGAGCACACUCACCCAGCUGGGCUCUUGCAACCCCUUCCAGUACCCCAGGAAGCUUGGCAGGAACUAACAAUGGAUUUUAUAGAAGGCCUUCCACCUUCUAAAACUUACAACACUGUUCCGGUGGUAGUGGAUAGAUAUACCAGGUAUGCUCAUUUUCUGGCACUCAAACAUCCAUUCACAGCUCAAGGAGUGGAUUGAUUGGUGCUGGAUAACAUUGUCAAGUUGCAUGGCUGUCCCAAGUCUAUUGUGUCUGACAAAGAUAAAAUUUUCAUCAGCACUUUCUAGAAGGAACUACUCUCUUUGUUGGACACAAAAUUGUUGAAGAGCUCCUCUUAUCAUCCUCAAAUUGAUGUGCAGUCUGAGAGAGUGAACCAAUGCUUGGAGAUGUAUUUGAGGUGUGCAGUAUAUGAUUCACCAAAGAAGUGGAAGAGUUGGUUACCAUUAGCUGAGUUAUGGUACAAUACAUCUUUUCAUACAUCCAUUGGGUGUUCACCUUUCAAAGCUCUGUAUGGCUAUGAAGUGUAUUCCAAUUCCUGAAGAUGCUUCUUCUGAUGCUGUUGACAUGGUGAAAGAGAGGGAAACCCAUAUGGUCGUGCUAAAGGAAAGACUUGCUAUUGCCCAGAACAAGAUGAAGACAUAUGCUGAUCUGCACAUGACUGAUCACUAGUUUCAGGUAGGUGAUCAAGUUUGUUGAAACUUCAACCUUAUGUUCAGCAUUCUGUGGUUCGUCGACCUUUUCCCAAACUAUCAUUCAAGUUUUUUGGACCAUAUCGGGUGGUGGAGAGAAUAUGCAAUGUACCCUACAAACUUGAACUACCUGCUGGAAGCAUGAUUCAUCCAGUCUUCCACAUCUCUCAACUAAAGCAGUACACUCCAGACCACUAGCCUGUCUACUCUGAUAUCUCAAAGUUGGUGGACCUGGGCGCUCCGGACUUGGAACUAGAAAGCGUCCUCGAGCGUCGAUUGGUGAAGAAGGGUAACAAUGCUAUUUCUCAGGUCCUCAUCAAGUGGUGCAGGUUGCCAGUUUCAUUUGCAACAUGGGAAGACUGGUAUGUGGUGAAAGAACGCUUUCCGUCUGCAGUGGCUUGGGGACAAGCAACAUCUCCAGGAGGUGGAGGUGUGAUGGCCCAGCAAGAUGGCGCCACCACAAGAGAGAAGACGGAGUUCCCAAAUGAAGCCAUCGAGGAGUAGCUAGUAGAGUGUGCCGUGUAUGUGUGCGUGGGCCUAGGUGGCUAGUGACUCAUGUAAGGGUGUGUGUCUUUCCUAUAAGGGAAGAGGUCUUGUAACGGUGAACACAAGUAUUAUCAAGUAAUCAAACAUUAACGUGAAGGGGAAGCUUCCUCUCGCCGUUCCCCAUCUCUCUCGAUUCGAUCUCGUCAAUCUCACAUCGCCGGCAAUCGCCGACGGCAACAGGCAUGACAGUGUGUCGUGGUGGUGGUUGUUGUUGUCCAUGUUAUAGUAUAAAAAUAGAGUUUUUGUACAGCAGUUUUGCAGAUGUAGCAUUUCUAGCUAGUUUCUGCCAUAUGCAUCUCAAACAACCCCAUGUGAGUAUAAAUAGAAUGGAUUUUAACCUUUUGUUACCCCCUUAAUGCAUAGCCUUCAUGCUUAAAAGGGUAUGCAUGCGCUCACCAUAUCCAGCUUUGGAGACGAAUCACUCUCACGCCUCUCCCCUUUAUCUUCUACCCAUUCUUUGCCUCCAACUUUCAACAUGUUGCCCUACUCUUUUUCUAUAAAAUAACGACAUCAGAGCAUUAUAAUAAUAUUAAGACGUACUACUUGCCAGCAAGAAGCUGAACAUCUUGGAAUGCCGUUUGGAGCAGAUUAAGGCGAUCGCGUGUCAGUGUAAGCAAAGAACAAAGGAACACAAAGCUAGAAUAAGAAAACAUCAAUCCUCUGCCACCGACAAAUCUAAGAGACACCUAGGGCUAGCAAUCUGCUCCUUGGGGAUGAAGAAUCUUGGGGAAGGAGACACGAGAAGAAGAGAGGUGCCGUAGAGGGACGUUUCCUUGCCUUUAAUUCCACUAUAUUGCAUCCCUUAUGUAGCUUGACCAAGAGGUCAGCUAUCCAGCAAAUUCUUAACAAACCAAAUCUCAAGCCUAACAAGCUACUACCCUGAACUACUAGUAUAUUUUUUUAUUGCUCUCAACCUCGAUCAUAAAUAUUUCCACAUAUUUAUAUUUUAUUCAUAUAUUGUACGCACUGUUCCUGACAUACAGGAUGUAUUUGGUCGCAUGCACCAUUUGAUGUUUGUAUGGAUGAUCUGGAUGGUGGGGUUCAACCAAUUUGCUUGUACCAUAUGGUUCACUCCUGCUAAUAGAAUAAUGUAAUGUAUUAAGUGGGAUGGUUUCAUCAUGGAUGGAUUGGUACAAUUCACCCAACUAAAAAAAAUCAUUAUUAUUUUGAACCAUUUCGUACAUGAAUCAAAUGAUACAAGCAACCAAGCACACCCUCAGAGCACCAUCUGAUACUUGGACUUUAUCGCAUCUGACGGGAACGAAAUGAACCAGCAAAUGCGUCUGGGCUAUCGUGUCCGCCUGGCUCAGCUGCGGUUUGUGUAACCUCGUAGUGGUGUGGCGUGUCACACUAGUUGUGGGCUUGUGGCCCGUGACGCCUUGGCUUUCGGGAAUCCUAUAGAGCUUCAGGAUUUUUUUUUCUUAUACAACUAGCAAUGUUUGAUGGUUGAGAUUCGUGUAGUAGCAUACAACCUUCUGAUCAUCAUCUUCUUCCUCUUCUUCCUCUCGGUCUUGAGUGCCACCACUAGCUCAAACGCGGGCGAGAAACUGAGGGCCUGAGGUUGCGGCGAGGUUGCCACCGGCUGCGGGUGGUGAUCGAGGCCGGCGGAGGUUAUGUUAGGGUUUUGGAGUUUCAGGGGCUCCAAUGGCCUCCGAGCAUAGAAGAAGGUCGGCUGCGGUGGUAGGUCGGCGGCAGCGGCAGUUUGCCAGAUGGGCAUGACUGGACAUCCGGUUAAAGAUGGCAACAAGCAUAAUGCCCGCGAAUACAACCUUCUUAAGCCCACGCCCGCCAACUAAAUCCUGCGCCCGCGCCCUCCACUCGCCACGGGUAACAGCCCGCGCCCUCCACUCGCCAUGGGUAACAAACCACGCUCGCACCCUCUAUCCGUGGGCAUUACAUGCCUGCGGGCACGCUCGUGUGCUCACCAGGUUCACAAGUACAUAAACAGCCAUAGUGCAUUACAAGUACAUGUGGCCAGGUGUGGAUUGAAUCAGGGUUUAGGAGAAAGGAAACCCUAGGAAUUGUGUAUAUAUAUAGACUUGUAGGUCCCACAUGUUAGAGCGGGUCUGGCGGUUAUGCCCGCGAACAACUAUCCUCCGGGUUUAGGAUGGUGCCCACGCCUAUGCCCGUGCGCGAGGAAUGAUGCCCAUAUCCUCGUCCAUCAGGUCUCAUGCUCACGGGCACGCGGGCAUUAUGUGCCUAUUGACAUCUUUACAUUCGGUAGGCGAAGGCUGGCGGCGGGGGCAACAACGAGGAGCACCGGAUUAGGAAGGGCGGGGUGGAAGGGGUGGGAGCGAAUGGUGGGUGGAUGACGAAUUAUUUUUUUAUUUUAACCCUUUUAAAUCUAAAAUUUUAAAAAUAACCCCUCCCAAUCUAAAUUACCAAAAACUAGCCCUUUUGGUCGCGCUAAAAGACGUGGCGCAACUUAUAAUAGAGUCACGCCACAUGCAAUGGCAUGACUAAAAUGCCACGAUGGCGCAGCCACCGCGUGGAGAUGACGUGUAAGAAUGAGCUGGAACGGUCACGCCAAGUUGCAUGGCGUGAUUGACAAAGCAGUCACGCUAGCAUGUAUGGCAUGACCAACAUUGAGCUGGUUGCAGGUUGCUAGCUUGUGUUGUAAGUGAACCUUAUUUCCUUUUAUAUUUUAAUUAGCUAAUGAGCACUUAAAUUCUCCAAACUUGAUAGACAUAAUACAUAAAGUAUACAUGUUCCAUUUUAAGAGUGCUUGCACUCCAAAUAUGGUGUAGAUAAUGAAAAAUCCUAUUUCAAAAUAGUUUAAGUGUUAUUGUUUUCCAAGUGGCUGAAAUGUCUUAAAUGUUGGAUAUGUUAUCAAAUAGCCAUGUUGAGGGGUGUGGAGUUUUGGAUUUUGUCUAAACACUUAAAAUUUGGACAACAUGAAAGUUGGAGUAGAAAUUAUACACAUUGUCAUGGAAGGAUUAUGGUUCAACGAUUUAGAGCAAUGAGAAUUCAAAGAUCAAGUCCAAGCUGGCAAAUUAUCCCGUUUUCAGCCUUGAUUGGAAAUCUCACCAUCCUGAAAACAGUGAUAACAAUGCAUCUUUGGAUUACAUUUUAAAAAGAUUUCAUCUAUCAACUUCAGAAAAUUUCACCUGAAAAUUGAGUAGGAAUAUCGGGUAAAUGGAUUUGGGAAGUUAAGGAGGACUUAAAUGGAGAUUUGAUUAUUUAUUUUGGAGCCUAAAGUUUGAACUUAUCACUGUUUUUGAUCAUGACAGGAUAUCACUAAAAAUCUGAAGCUAAGCUCGAGAUCACUUAACCUAUUAUAAAUUGGAUACUUCAUUUUAUACACCAUAUUUUAGAGCACCAAUACUUAAAAUGGAACAUAUACACUCCAUGUAUACCUGACAAGUUUGAAGAAUUUAUGGUCUCAUUAGCUAAUUAAAAUGUAGAAGGAAAUAAGGCUAAGUAGAUUGAAUUUUUGGGCACUUAGAAGAAGGCUAGCAAGGCAUGGAGCUUGUCACGCCAUACUUGCUGGCGUGACUGCUUUGUCAGUCACGCCACGCAACUUGGCGUGACCAUUCCAGCUCAUUUUUACACGUGAGCUCCAUGUGGUGACCGCGCCAUCAUGGGAUUUUAGUCACGCCAUUGCAUGUGGCGUGACUCUGUUAUAAGUCGCGCCACGUCUUUUGUCGUGACCAAAAGGGCUAGUUUUUGGUAAUUUAGAUUGGGAGAGGUUAUUUUUAAAAUUUUAGAUUUAAAAGGGUUAAAAUAAAAAAAUUCCAUCGUCAAAGUCCUAUUCGUCGAGUCCGUCUUGUGGAAGUGCUUCCUUGUUACAUGUUGAGAGUUGAAAGAGAGACAGAAAGAAUAAAUAUGAGGAUUCUUUUUAUUGAUUGAAUGAAUGGUCUGGUUAGAUAUUUAUAAAAGGGGAAAGGACAUGCCCAAAGGGCAUCAUGUCCCUUGAGAGUUGGCCCCUUCAUGAAAGGUCCACACCCUUUCAUGAAAGGUCCUCUACAAUUAUCUAUAAUAUUAAUUGAUCACUAAUAAUGUGUUUCACAACACCCCCCCUUGAUCAAUUAGCUCCUUGUAAGCUUCAUGUAGUUCUUGUUCAAUCAUCUUUGAUUAUCA
This 32926-nucleotide long non-coding RNA is filed under the name Setaria viridis. Its description in RNAcentral is "long non-coding RNA (SVIR_LNC003960)". Lineage: Eukaryota; Viridiplantae; Streptophyta; Magnoliopsida; Poales; Poaceae. The record is from RNAcentral.